RNAcentral lists this ribosomal RNA (497 nucleotides) under uncultured bacterium. RNAcentral describes it as "partial 16S ribosomal RNA". It matches the Rfam family "Bacterial small subunit ribosomal RNA", at positions 28 to 507 of the family's 1533-position model. The record is from RNAcentral.
GAUGAACGCUGGCGGCGUGCCUAACACAUGCAAGUCGAGCGAACAGACGAGGCGCUUGCUCCUCUGACGUUAGCGGCGGACGGGUGAGUCACACGUGUAUACCCUCCCUAUCAGACUGGGAUCACUUCGGGACACCGGAGCUAAUACCGGAUAAUCUAUUGCACCGCAGUGUUCAAUAGUGAAAUACGGUUUUUGGGUAAGUAAUAGAGGCUUCUCCGCCGCAUUGGGUGGUUGUUAAGGUAACGGCUUACCAAGGGUAGGAUGCGUGGCCGACGUGAGAGGGGGAUCGCCCACACGGGAGCUGAGACGCGGACAAGAGGCCUACGGGAGGCAGCAGUAGGGAAUCGUCCGCAAUGGGCGAAAGCCUGACGGAGCAACGGCGCGUGAGUGAUGAAGAUCUUCGGAUCGUAAAACUCUGUUAUGGGGGAAGAACAAAUGUGGAAGGAGCUGUGGACGUCGUGACGGUACCGAAUCAGAAAGCCACGGCUAACUACGUG